Molecule: ribosomal RNA, 479 nt
Filed under: uncultured bacterium
Lineage: Bacteria
Description: SSU rRNA
Rfam family: Bacterial small subunit ribosomal RNA
Source: RNAcentral
AGGACAAACGCUGGCGGGGUGCAUGAGACAUGCAAGUCGAACGAGGCACUGUUGAGCUUGCUCGACGGUGUCCUAGUGGCGGACGGCUGAGUAACGCGUAGGUGACCUACCCGGAAGUGGGGAAUAACUGCCCGAAAGGGUGGCUAAUACCGCAUGUGGUCGACGAUUCGAUUCGUCGUCCAAAGGAGCAAUUCGCUUCCGGAGGGGCCUGCGUCCGAUUAGCUAGUUGGUGGGGUAACGGCUUACCAAGGCGACGAUCGGUAGCUGGUCUGAGAGGAUGACCAGCCAGACUGGGACUGAGACACGGCCCAGACUCCUACGGGAGGCAGCAGUCGGGAAUUUUGCCCAAUGAGCGAAAGCUUGAGGCAGCAACUCCGCGUGAGGGAUGAAGGCUCUAGGGUCGUAAACCUCUUUCUCAGGGAAGAUACAAGACGGUACCUGAGGAAUAAGGCGACGGCUAACUACGUGCCAGCAGCCGC